Molecule: ribosomal RNA, 2787 nt
Filed under: Escherichia coli
Lineage: Bacteria; Pseudomonadati; Pseudomonadota; Gammaproteobacteria; Enterobacterales; Enterobacteriaceae
Description: bacterial LSU rRNA
Rfam family: Bacterial large subunit ribosomal RNA
Source: RNAcentral
AGCGUACACGGUGGAUGCCCUGGCAGUCAGAGGCGAUGAAGGACGUGCUAAUCUGCGAUAAGCGUCGGUAAGGUGAUAUGAACCGUUAUAACCGGCGAUUUCCGAAUGGGGAAACCCAGUGUGUUUCGACACACUAUCAUUAACUGAAUCCAUAGGUUAAUGAGGCGAACCGGGGGAACUGAAACAUCUAAGUACCCCGAGGAAAAGAAAUCAACCGAGAUUCCCCCAGUAGCGGCGAGCGAACGGGGAGCAGCCCAGAGCCUGAAUCAGUGUGUGUGUUAGUGGAAGCGUCUGGAAAGGCGCGCGAUACAGGGUGACAGCCCCGUACACAAAAAUGCACAUAUUGUGAGCUCGAUGAGUAGGGCGGGACACGUGGUAUCCUGUCUGAAUAUGGGGGGACCAUCCUCCAAGGCUAAAUACUCCUGACUGACCGAUAGUGAACCAGUACCGUGAGGGAAAGGCGAAAAGAACCCCGGCGAGGGGAGUGAAAAAGAACCUGAAACCGUGUACGUACAAGCAGUGGGAGCACGCUUCGGCGUGUGACUGCGUACCUUUUGUAUAAUGGGUCAGCGACUUAUAUUCUGUAGCAAGGUUAACCGAAUAGGGGAGCCGAAGGGAAACCGAGUCUUAACUGGGCGUUAAGUUGCAGGGUAUAGACCCGAAACCCGGUGAUCUAGCCAUGGGCAGGUUGAAGGUUGGGUAACACUAACUGGAGGACCGAACCGACUAAUGUUGAAAAAUUAGCGGAUGACUUGUGGCUGGGGGUGAAAGGCCAAUCAAACCGGGAGAUAGCUGGUUCUCCCCGAAAGCUAUUUAGGUAGCGCCUCGUGAAUUCAUCUCCGGGGGUAGAGCACUGUUUCGGCAAGGGGGUCAUCCCGACUUACCAACCCGAUGCAAACUGCGAAUACCGGAGAAUGUUAUCACGGGAGACACACGGCGGGUGCUAACGUCCGUCGUGAAGAGGGAAACAACCCAGACCGCCAGCUAAGGUCCCAAAGUCAUGGUUAAGUGGGAAACGAUGUGGGAAGGCCCAGACAGCCAGGAUGUUGGCUUAGAAGCAGCCAUCAUUUAAAGAAAGCGUAAUAGCUCACUGGUCGAGUCGGCCUGCGCGGAAGAUGUAACGGGGCUAAACCAUGCACCGAAGCUGCGGCAGCGACGCUGAUGCGUUGUUGGGUAGGGGAGCGUUCUGUAAGCCUGCGAAGGUGUGCUGUGAGGCAUGCUGGAGGUAUCAGAAGUGCGAAUGCUGACAUAAGUAACGAUAAAGCGGGUGAAAAGCCCGCUCGCCGGAAGACCAAGGGUUCCUGUCCAACGUUAAUCGGGGCAGGGUGAGUCGACCCCUAAGGCGAGGCCGAAAGGCGUAGUCGAUGGGAAACAGGUUAAUAUUCCUGUACUUGGUGUUACUGCGAAGGGGGGACGGAGAAGGCUAUGUUGGCCGGGCGACGGUUGUCCCGGUUUAAGCGUGUAGGCUGGUUUUCCAGGCAAAUCCGGAAAAUCAAGGCUGAGGCGUGAUGACGAGGCACUACGGUGCUGAAGCAACAAAUGCCCUGCUUCCAGGAAAAGCCUCUAAGCAUCAGGUAACAUCAAAUCGUACCCCAAACCGACACAGGUGGUCAGGUAGAGAAUACCAAGGCGCUUGAGAGAACUCGGGUGAAGGAACUAGGCAAAAUGGUGCCGUAACUUCGGGAGAAGGCACGCUGAUAUGUAGGUGAAGUCCCUCGCGGAUGGAGCUGAAAUCAGUCGAAGAUACCAGCUGGCUGCAACUGUUUAUUAAAAACACAGCACUGUGCAAACACGAAAGUGGACGUAUACGGUGUGACGCCUGCCCGGUGCCGGAAGGUUAAUUGAUGGGGUCAGCGCAAGCGAAGCUCUUGAUCGAAGCCCCGGUAAACGGCGGCCGUAACUAUAACGGUCCUAAGGUAGCGAAAUUCCUUGUCGGGUAAGUUCCGACCUGCACGAAUGGCGUAAUGAUGGCCAGGCUGUCUCCACCCGAGACUCAGUGAAAUUGAACUCGCUGUGAAGAUGCAGUGUACCCGCGGCAAGACGGAAAGACCCCGUGAACCUUUACUAUAGCUUGACACUGAACAUUGAGCCUUGAUGUGUAGGAUAGGUGGGAGGCUUUGAAGUGUGGACGCCAGUCUGCAUGGAGCCGACCUUGAAAUACCACCCUUUAAUGUUUGAUGUUCUAACGUUGACCCCUAAUCGGGGUUGCGGACAGUGUCUGGUGGGUAGUUUGACUGGGGCGGUCUCCUCCUAAAGAGUAACGGAGGAGCACGAAGGUUGGCUAAUCCUGGUCGGACAUCAGGAGGUUAGUGCAAUGGCAUAAGCCAGCUUGACUGCGAGCGUGACGGCGCGAGCAGGUGCGAAAGCAGGUCAUAGUGAUCCGGUGGUUCUGAAUGGAAGGGCCAUCGCUCAACGGAUAAAAGGUACUCCGGGGAUAACAGGCUGAUACCGCCCAAGAGUUCAUAUCGACGGCGGUGUUUGGCACCUCGAUGUCGGCUCAUCACAUCCUGGGGCUGAAGUAGGUCCCAAGGGUAUGGCUGUUCGCCAUUUAAAGUGGUACGCGAGCUGGGUUUAGAACGUCGUGAGACAGUUCGGUCCCUAUCUGCCGUGGGCGCUGGAGAACUGAGGGGGGCUGCUCCUAGUACGAGAGGACCGGAGUGGACGCAUCACUGGUGUUCGGGUUGUCAUGCCAAUGGCACUGCCCGGUAGCUAAAUGCGGAAGAGAUAAGUGCUGAAAGCAUCUAAGCACGAAACUUGCCCCGAGAUGAGUUCUCCCUGACUCCUUGA